RNAcentral lists this ribosomal RNA (513 nucleotides) under uncultured bacterium. Its description in RNAcentral is "partial 16S ribosomal RNA". It matches the Rfam family "Bacterial small subunit ribosomal RNA", at positions 28 to 523 of the family's 1533-position model. The record is from RNAcentral.
GACGAACGCUGGCGGCGUGCCUAAUACAUGCAAGUCGAGCGGACAGAUGGGAGCUUGCUCCCUGAUGUUAGCGGCGGACGGGUGAGUAACACGUGGGUAACCUGCCUGUAAGACUGGGAUAACUCCGGGAAACCGGGGCUAACACCGGAUGGUUGUUUGAACCGCAUGGUUCAAACAUAAAAGGUGGCUUCGGCUACCACUUACAGAUGGACCCGCGGCGCAUUAGCUAGUUGGUGAGGUAACGGCUCACCAAGGCAACGAUGCGUAGCCGACCUGAGAGGGUGAUCGGCCACACUGGGACUGAGACACGGCCCAGACUCCUACGGGAGGCAGCAGUAGGGAGUCUUCCGCAAUGGACGAAAGGCUGACGGAGCAACGCCGCGUGAGUGAUGAAGGUUUUCGGAUCGUAAAGCUCUGUUGUUAGGGAAGAACAAGUACCGUUCGAAUAGGGCGGUACCUUGACGGUACCUAACCAGAAAGCCACGGCUAACUACGUGCCAGCCGCCGCAGUAA